RNAcentral lists this ribosomal RNA (500 nucleotides) under uncultured bacterium. RNAcentral describes it as "bacterial SSU rRNA". It matches the Rfam family "Bacterial small subunit ribosomal RNA", at positions 1014 to 1512 of the family's 1533-position model. The record is from RNAcentral.
UUCCCUUCGGGGCUGGUGCACAGGUGCUGCAUGGCUGUCGUCAGCUCGUGUCGUGAGAUGUUGCGUUAAGUCGCGCAACGAGCGCAACCCCUGUCCUUAGUUGCCAUCAGGUAAAGCUGGGCACUCUAGGGAGACAAACCCUCUCUGAGGGUGGGAAGGUGGGGAUGACGUCAAGUCAGGAUGGCCCUUACGGCCUGGGCUGCACACGUGCUACAAUGCUCGGUACAGAGGGACGCAAGACCGCGAGGUGGAGCAAAUCCCAGAAACCGAGCCCAGUUCAGAUUGCAGUCUGCAACUCGACUGCAUGAAGCCGGAAUCGCUAGUAAUGGCGUAUCAGCUACGACGCCGUGAAUACGUUCCCGGGCCUUGUACACACCGCCCGUCACGUCAUGAAAGCCGGUUUUGCCCGAAGUGCGUUUGCCAACCAGCAAUGGAGGCGGCGCCCUAAGGUGAGGCUGGUGAUUGGGACGAAGUCGUAACAAGGUAGCCGUAGGGGAACC